RNAcentral lists this ribosomal RNA (835 nucleotides) under Schaalia radingae. RNAcentral describes it as "bacterial SSU rRNA". It matches the Rfam family "Bacterial small subunit ribosomal RNA", at positions 69 to 890 of the family's 1533-position model. Lineage: Bacteria; Bacillati; Actinomycetota; Actinomycetes; Actinomycetales; Actinomycetaceae. The record is from RNAcentral.
CUGCGUGGCCUUUGUGGUUGUGUGGUGAGAGUGGCGAACGGGUGAGUAACACGUGAGUAACCUGCCUUUUUCUUUGGGAUAACGCUCAGAAAUGGGUGCUAAUACUGGAUGUUCUGCGCUUUCCGCAUGGGGGGUGUGGGAAAGGGGCCUUUGUGGUUUCUGGAGGGAGAUGGGCUCGCGGCUUAUCAGCUUGUUGGUGGGGUGAUGGCUUACCAAGGCUUUGACGGGUAGCCGGCCUGAGAGGGUGGGCGGUCACAUUGGGACUGAGAUACGGCCCAGACUCCUACGGGAGGCAGCAGUGGGGAAUUUUGCACAAUGGGGGGAACCUUGAUGCAGCGACGCCGCGUGAGGGAUGGAGGCCUUCGGGUUGUGAACCUCUUUCGCUCGUGUGCAAGCCGCUAUUUGGGUAGUGGUGAGUGUAGCGGGUAAAGAAGCGCCGGCUAACUACGUGCCAGCAGCCGCGGUAAUACGUAGGGCGCGAGCGUUGUCCGGAUUUAUUGGGCGUAAAGGGCUUGUAGGCGGUUUGUCGCGCCUGUCGUGUAAUCCUCUGGCUUAACUGGGGGUGUGCGGUGGGUACGGGCAGGCUUGAGUGCGGUAGGGGAGAUUGGAAUUCCUGGUGUAGCGGUGGAAUGCGCAGAUAUCAGGAGGAACACCGGUGGCGAAGGCGGGUCUCUGGGCCGUUACUGACGCUGAGGAGCGAAAGCGUGGGGAGCGAACAGGAUUAGAUACCCUGGUAGUCCAUGCUGUAAACGUUGGGCACUAGGUGUGGGGGCCGCCCUUGGUUUCUGCGCCGUAGCUAACGCUUUAAGUGCCCCGCCUGGGGAGUACGGCCGCA